RNAcentral lists this long non-coding RNA (875 nucleotides) under Mytilus galloprovincialis (Mediterranean mussel). The record is from RNAcentral. Lineage: Eukaryota; Metazoa; Mollusca; Bivalvia; Mytilida; Mytilidae.
CUUAAUAAUUUCUUUUAAAAGGUAAUAAAUCAACAAGAAAAUUUGACUUCAUCAAAGUUUUGUAAAUCAUGUGCUGAUCUUAAAGGCGUCGAAGUUUUUGAUAAAUAAUAAGUUUUCUUUAAUACCAAACCUCUCGACUUUGGUACCUAGUAACAUGUAUGUGUCUGCUAGUACGAAUGUUUGUUGUAUACACUUACAGUCCUUUCAAAGCAUCCGAAAAACAGACCAAUGUGAAAAAUACUCAUUCGAAUUCAAGGACUGUAUAUAUAUUUUAGAUUAUAAAUAAAAUGAAAAAUUCCAAACUGCCGUUUUCUUUCCAAAAUCUGAGGAUGAAAUUGAAAUUAUUGAUCAAGCAAAGAGAGGAUAUAUAGUAGAUGUUGCUGCCAUUGACUCGAACGAGGAUUAUUUGUUUAUAUUAUAAUGUUCUUGAAAGACACAUAUUUUGGAUGUUGAUAGUACGGAUAAAAAUACCCUAAAUUAUUCGCUAACUGUAGUUCGAAAACUAUAGCUGAGUGGCUGUUUCAACGCGAUAUAUAUGCCCAGGCUUAGAUACUUGUGAUGACGGAAUCCUGAGCAUCAUAGAGAAUAAGCAUUUUGCGACAUGCUUGAGCAGUGACAAAUGUUUGAAAUGUAUACUUUUAGUAAGUUAAGAUUAUGAGGAAAUAAAGUUUAUUUGUCAAAAAUAUACAAUCAGUCAUACAGCCCGUAACAGAGAAGUGAUCGAAUUGAUGUUUCUUUACCGUCAAAAUUAGCUACGUUAUCGACAAACUUAAUUGAGUAGUGACCGAACUAUUGGUACUUUAACGUAAAUGAAUGUUUAGAAGAAAAAUGUUUAGUUUACUGAUAUAUUGCUUACCGGUAUAUGUUAAUCGCCA